Molecule: ribosomal RNA, 1381 nt
Filed under: uncultured bacterium
Lineage: Bacteria
Description: bacterial SSU rRNA
Rfam family: Bacterial small subunit ribosomal RNA
Source: RNAcentral
GACGAACGCUGGCGGCGUGCCUAAUACAUGCAAGUCGAACGCUUCUUUCCUCCCGAGUGCUUGCACUCAAUUGGAAAGAGGAGUGGCGGACGGGUGAGUAACACGUGGGUAACCUACCCAUCAGAGGGGGAUAACACUUGGAAACAGGUGCUAAUACCGCAUAACAGUUUAUGCCGCAUGGCAUAAGAGUGAAAGGCGCUUUCGGGUGUCGCUGAUGGAUGGACCCGCGGUGCAUUAGCUAGUUGGUGAGGUAACGGCUCACCAAGGCCACGAUGCAUAGCCGACCUGAGAGGGUGAUCGGCCACACUGGGACUGAGACACGGCCCAGACUCCUACGGGAGGCAGCAGUAGGGAAUCUUCGGCAAUGGACGAAAGUCUGACCGAGCAACGCCGCGUGAGUGAAGAAGGUUUUCGGAUCGUAAAACUCUGUUGUUAGAGAAGAACAAGGACGUUAGUAACUGAACGUCCCCUGACGGUAUCUAACCAGAAAGCCACGGCUAACUACGUGCCAGCAGCCGCGGUAAUACGUAGGUGGCAAGCGUUGUCCGGAUUUAUUGGGCGUAAAGCGAGCGCAGGCGGUUUCUUAAGUCUGAUGUGAAAGCCCCCGGCUCAACCGGGGAGGGUCAUUGGAAACUGGGAGACUUGAGUGCAGAAGAGGAGAGUGGAAUUCCAUGUGUAGCGGUGAAAUGCGUAGAUAUAUGGAGGAACACCAGUGGCGAAGGCGGCUCUCUGGUCUGUAACUGACGCUGAGGCUCGAAAGCGUGGGGAACAAACAGGAUUAGAUACCCUGGUAGUCCACGCCGUAAACGAUGAGUGCUAAGUGUUGGAGGGUUUCCGCCCUUCAGUGCUGCAGCAAACGCAUUAAGCACUCCGCCUGGGGAGUACGACCGCAAGGUUGAAACUCAAAGGAAUUGACGGGGGCCCGCACAAGCGGUGGAGCAUGUGGUUUAAUUCGAAGCAACGCGAAGAACCUUACCAGGUCUUGACAUCCUUUGACCACUCUAGAGAUAGAGCUUUCCCUUCGGGGACAAAGUGACAGGUGGUGCAUGGUUGUCGUCAGCUCGUGUCGUGAGAUGUUGGGUUAAGUCCCGCAACGAGCGCAACCCUUAUUGUUAGUUGCCAUCAUUUAGUUGGGCACUCUAGCGAGACUGCCGGUGACAAACCGGAGGAAGGUGGGGAUGACGUCAAAUCAUCAUGCCCCUUAUGACCUGGGCUACACACGUGCUACAAUGGGAAGUACAACGAGUCGCUAGACCGCGAGGUCAUGCAAAUCUCUUAAAGCUUCUCUCAGUUCGGAUUGCAGGCUGCAACUCGCCUGCAUGAAGCCGGAAUCGCUAGUAAUCGCGGAUCAGCACGCCGCGGUGAAUACGUUCCCGGGCCU